This 497-nucleotide ribosomal RNA is filed under the name uncultured bacterium. RNAcentral describes it as "partial 16S ribosomal RNA". It matches the Rfam family "Bacterial small subunit ribosomal RNA", at positions 28 to 507 of the family's 1533-position model. The record is from RNAcentral.
GACGAACGCUGGCGGCGUGCCUAAUACAUGCAAGUAGAACGCUGAAGCUUGGUGCUUGCACCGAGCGGAUGAGUUGCGAACGGGUGAGUAACGCGUAGGUAACCUGCCUGGUAGCGGGGGAUAACUAUUGGAAACGAUAGCUAAUACCGCAUAAGAGUAGAUGUUGCAUGACAUUUGCUUAAAAGGUGCAAUUGCAUCACUACCAGAUGGACCUGCGUUGUAUUAGCUAGUUGGUGAGGUAACGGCUCACCAAGGCAACGAUACAUAGCCGACCUGAGAGGGUGGUCGGCCACACUUGGACUGGGACACGGCCCAGGCUCCUUAGGGGGGCAGCAGUAGGGGAUCUUCGGCAAAUGACCGAAGUCUGACCGAGCAACGGCGCGUGAGUUAAGAAGGUUUUCGGAUCGGAAAGCUCUGUUGUAAGGGAAGAACGAGUGUGAGAGUGGAAAGUUCACGCUGUGACGGUAUCUUACCAGAAAGGGACGGCUAACUACGUG